AACGAACGCUGGCGGCGUGGCUAAGACAUGCAAGUCGAACGGUAGGUUAUAGCAAUAUGGCCUAUAGUGGCGGACGGGUGAGUAAUAAAUAGGUAACGUACCCUGGGCACGGGGAUAGCGUCGUCCCGAGCAAUCGGGGCUUUGCGAAAGUGACGGUAAUACCCGGUAAUGUCCUCGAGUGGCAUCGCUUGAGGACCAGAGGUGGGGACCUUCGGGCCUAUCGGCCUGGGAGCGGCCUAUUUCCUANCAGCUAGUUGGUGAGGUAACGGCUCACCAAGGCUUCGACGGGUAACCGGAC
Molecule: ribosomal RNA, 298 nt
Filed under: uncultured bacterium
Lineage: Bacteria
Description: partial 16S ribosomal RNA
Rfam family: Bacterial small subunit ribosomal RNA
Source: RNAcentral